RNAcentral lists this ribosomal RNA (205 nucleotides) under Campylobacter jejuni. Its description in RNAcentral is "partial 23S ribosomal RNA". It matches the Rfam family "Bacterial large subunit ribosomal RNA", at positions 2718 to 2925 of the family's 2925-position model. The record is from RNAcentral. Lineage: Bacteria; Pseudomonadati; Campylobacterota; Epsilonproteobacteria; Campylobacterales; Campylobacteraceae.
CUGUUGUUCUGCCAAGAGCAUCGCAGCGUAGCUAAGUUUGGAAAGGAUAAACGCUGAAAGCAUCUAAGCGUGAAGCCAACUCUAAGAUGAAUCUUCUCUAAGCUCUCUAGAAGACUACUAGUUUGAUAGGCUGGGUGUGUAAUGGAUGAAAGUCCUUUAGCUGACCAGUACUAAUAGAGCGUUUGGCUUAUCUUUAAUAAAGCAU